Molecule: long non-coding RNA, 2214 nt
Organism: Leopardus geoffroyi (Geoffroy's cat)
Lineage: Eukaryota; Metazoa; Chordata; Mammalia; Carnivora; Felidae
Exons: 4
Source: RefSeq, a predicted model, not a curated record
GUCAGACGCUUAACCGAUUGAGCCACCCAGGUGCCCCUAGUGUUAAGGAAUGUUCUUAGGCAAGACUGGGCCACCCCAGAGAAGGAUUAUGAAAAAGUCGACACAGAGUCUAUGGACUGUGAGGUAUCAUGCUGCUCGUUCCUGACCAUUCGUCAGAAUUUCCUUCCUUUCUAAGACUGAACGAUAUUUCAUUGUAGAAAGUUGGAUUAAUUCAAGAACAAGCCUUCUGAGCUCAGUUGAUUCGAGAACGAUCACCCACUGGAGAGUUGCGCUGUGCAAGAAAGACUUCUUCACAUUGUCCCAGUACUCUGCUUUAAAGAUAUGCACAGUAAGGCACCGAGGGGACCAGUGGGACAUGCGUGCAAAUCCAAGUCUACCAACUCUCAAAAGAAAACUUUCCCGACAGCAGAGGAGUGUCUUUGUAGAGAUUAAAAGAUAGCGUACAUCCCUGGGUGGAUAUACUUGCAUCUUUACACGUGUAUGUAAAACAAAUAUAAGUUUCACACUGCUUCCCACCUACCCACUGUCUUUUCCUUGUAACGCUUUCCUUUGAGCAAAAAAUUUAACUUCAAGGGCACCUGAAGUUAAGCAUCUGACUCUUGAUUUCGGCUCAGGUCAUGAUCUCACGGUUUGUGCGUUCCAGCCUCGCAUCCGUCUUGACUCAGUGCCAUUGUUGUGCGAUCAUAUCUUAAUGGCCACACAAUCAAUGCUUGGGGUUCUCUCUCUCCCUCUCUCUCUGCCCCUCCUCCACUCAAGCUCUCUGUCUCUCUCAAAAGAAAUAAAUAAACUUAAGAAAAGUUUAACUUCUCAGUCUGUUUUCAUUCUAUGAUUAUUAAAGAUUGACUGCUGUCAGGUCAAUUUAUUUAUUUGCCAAAUCAAUAGCAAGUUUAAACAAGCUUAAGAAGUUUGGGAACUGUCUGUAAGGUAGGUUCCAUUUUCCCACCGGCCCACUAAAUAUCUUGUCAUUGGCAUUAUCGGAGGUUCCAGCCUAGUGAUAGAGACAAACAUUUGAUUGGAUUCAAAAAGCAAGAAUGGAAGUGUGUGUGUGUGCGUGUGUGUGUGUGUGUUUUAACAGUGUUAUUUUAGAGCAGUUUAAGGUUCACUGCAAAACCGAGAGGAGGAGACAGAGGUGUGUGGGGACAGGCACAGCCUCCCCCGUUAUCACUGUCCCGCACCACGGUGGUACAUUAUUACAGUUGGUGAACCCGUAUUGAUACAUCAUUACCCAAAGUCCAUAGUUAACUCUUGGUGGUGCACAUUCUACGGGUUUGAACAGAUGACACGUGAAUGUAUAAUGUGUGGUGACGAUGGCAGUGUGGGUUGUUUCUCCUUGGUGCCCUCUUUUUGUUUAUUGCCUGAGGUGACAAAACGCAGGUCUAGCAUCCAGUUAAGCUGCAUGGAGGGCUAGCGAUUUCUGAGAUGCAAGAGUUAGCUGGGAAAACUACCGUCUUGUAGAGUUGGGUCAAUUCUUCCUACUUCUAAGAUGUGGCUGCCAGCUCUGCUGUGUGAGUGUGUGUGUGUGUGUGUGUGUGUGUGUUGUGUGUGUUGUGGUAGUUUAUGCUUUCUGAUGUCUUUUCUUGAACAAGUAGUUUCCUUCUUGGGGGUGGAUGGAAUGUCUUCCGCCAACACUUAGGGCGGAUUACAUUUCCCCCAUAGUCCGACUCUGCUUACAACUGCCCUUGAACUAUUCGGUUACCACACUGAGUGGCAUUAGAGCAAAUGCUCCUUGCUGAGAUGAAACCAGGCAUGAAACAGGGUGGUGACUGGUUAAGAAGCUGAAAUGAGCUUUGGUUCAAGGUGAGAAUUCACAGGCCUUGGUCCAGUGAGCCAUGUUUCCCAUGCUUACAUAUCUGUGAAACAGCUGUUAUAAAUUGAAACUCUGAGAAGUUUUCUCAGCAAAAUUGAAGAUAAAAAAAAAAAAAUCCAACUCUCCCUCCCCCCUCUUCUGUUGACACAGAAUCUGCGGCAUUCCUCACAGCUACCUUUCCUCCUUGACUUGAGUACUCUGUGACACUCCUGUGUCCCUAAGAACCAACUUCGUAGUCCUUGAAAUUUGGCCACCAUUUUGAACACGGAUUUUUAGAAAUAAUUUUUAAAAGAGGAAAUGUUGUACACCUUUGUAGCUUGAUCAUUGAACUUGAAGUUCAUGAGCCUUACUCCUAUCAAUUUUUUAACGUUUAUUUUUGAGACAGAGAGAGACAGAGCAUGAAUGGG